AAGAAUAUACUUGCAGGGAUCAUUUCUAUAGUUCAUUAUUAGAGACAUUUCUAUGAACAUGUAGAGCAACCAGAAACUACAAGAAAGAGGCAUAACAUUCUCUUCUGAGCAUGAGGCUGGCUCUGGGUGUGGUUUUACAACAACUGUCAUUUUCCAUUCAUGACUUGAUGAUCAUUCUUCUCCUCUUCCAGGAGAGUAAGAGGGAGAAGAUGCAAUCUGAGUGGU
RNAcentral lists this small nucleolar RNA (225 nucleotides) under Carlito syrichta (Philippine tarsier). Its description in RNAcentral is "Small nucleolar RNA U3 (ENSTSYG00000024678.2)". It matches the Rfam family "Small nucleolar RNA U3". Rfam says of the family: Small nucleolar RNAs (snoRNAs) are involved in the processing and modification of rRNA in the nucleolus. There are two main classes of snoRNAs: the box C/D class, and the box H/ACA class. U3 snoRNA is a member of the box C/D class. Lineage: Eukaryota; Metazoa; Chordata; Mammalia; Primates; Tarsiidae. The record is from Rfam by way of RNAcentral.